UGAGGAACAUGACCUUCGGCGGGGGAUAGCCGGCCCAACGGCCGGGUAAUACCGCGUACGACCACUUUGGGACAUCCCUCGGUGGUGAAAGCAGCAAUGCGCCGAUGGAGUGCCUCGCGGCCUAUCAGCUAGUUGGUGAGGUAACGGCUCACCAAGGCGACGACGGGUAGCUGGUCUGAGAGGAUGGCCAGCCACAUUGGGACUGAGACACGGCCCAGACCUCCCGUACGGGGAGCAG
RNAcentral lists this ribosomal RNA (238 nucleotides) under uncultured bacterium. RNAcentral describes it as "partial 16S ribosomal RNA". It matches the Rfam family "Bacterial small subunit ribosomal RNA", at positions 118 to 351 of the family's 1533-position model. The record is from RNAcentral.